GUGGGGAAUCUUGCGCAAUGGGCGAAAGCCUGACGCAGCCAUGCCGCGUGGAUGAUGAAGGUCUUAGGAUUGUAAAAUCCUUUCACCGGCGAAGAUAAUGACUGUAGCCGGAGAAGAAGCUCCGGCUAACUUCGUGCCAGCAGCCGCGGUAAUACGAAGGGGGCUAGCGUUGCUCGGAAUUACUGGGCGUAAAGGGCGCGUAGGCGGACAGCUUAGUCAGAGGUGAAAGCCCAGGGCUCAACCUUGGAAUUGCCUUUGAUACUGGCUGUCUUGAGUUUGGGAGAGGUGAGUGGAACUCCGAGUGUAGAGGUGAAAUUCGUAGAUAUUCGGAAGAACACCAGUGGCGAAGGCGACUCACUGGCCCAAUACUGACGCUGAGGCGCGAAAGCGUGGGGAGCAAACAGGAUUAGAUACCCGGGUAGUCC
RNAcentral lists this ribosomal RNA (425 nucleotides) under uncultured bacterium. RNAcentral's name for it is "partial 16S ribosomal RNA". It matches the Rfam family "Bacterial small subunit ribosomal RNA", at positions 354 to 796 of the family's 1533-position model. The record is from RNAcentral.